GAAGUCUUAGUGGCGCAGCUAACGCACUAAGUAGACCGCCUGGGGAGUACGGCCGCAAGGUUAAAACUCAAAUGAAUUGACGGGGGCCCGCACAAGCGGUGGAGCAUGUGGUUUAAUUCGACGCAACGCGAAGAACCUUACCUGGCCUUGACAUGCAGAGAACUUUCCAGAGAUGGAUUGGUGCCUUCGGGAACUCUGACACAGGUGCUGCAUGGCCGUCGUCAGCUCGUGUCGUGAGAUGUUGGGUUAAGUCCCGUAACGAGCGCAACCCCUAUCCCUAGUUGCUAGCAGUUCGGCUGAGAACUCUAGGGAGACUGCCGGUGACAAACCGGAGGAAGGCGGGGAUGACGUCAGGUCAUCAUGGCCCUUACGGCCAGGGCUACACACGUGCUACAAUGGUGCGUACAGAGGGCUGCAAACCCGCGAGGGGGAGCUAAUCUCACAAAACGCAUCGUAGUCCGGAUCGGAGUCUGCAACUCGACUCCGUGAAGUCGGAAUCGCUAGUAAUCGCGAAUCAGAAUGUCGCGGUGAAUACGUUCCCGGGCCUUGUACACACCGCCCGUCACACCAUGGGAGUGGAUUGCACCAGAAGUGGUUAGUCUAACCUUCGGGAGGA
RNAcentral lists this ribosomal RNA (616 nucleotides) under uncultured bacterium. Its description in RNAcentral is "bacterial SSU rRNA". It matches the Rfam family "Bacterial small subunit ribosomal RNA", at positions 834 to 1450 of the family's 1533-position model. The record is from RNAcentral.